GAUGAACGCUGGCGGCGUGCUUAACACAUGCAAGUCGAACGAAGCACUCUAUUUGAUUUUCUUCGGAAAUGAAGAUUUUGUGACUGAGUGGCGGACGGGUGAGUAACGCGUGGGUAACCUGCCUCAUACAGGGGGAUAACAGUUGGAAGCGACUGCUAAUACCGCAUAAGCGCACAGGAUUGCAUGAUCCGGUGUGAAAAACUCCGGUGGUAUGAGAUGGACCCGCGUCUGAUUAGCCAGUUGGCAGGGUAACGGCCUACCAAAGCGACGAUCAGUAGCCGACCUGAGAGGGUGACCGGCCACAUUGGGACUGAGACACGGCCCAAACUCCUACGGGAGGCAGCAGUGGGGAAUAUUGCACAAUGGGGGAAACCCUGAUGCAGCGACGCCGCGUGAGCGAAGAAGUAUUUCGGUAUGUAAAGCUCUAUCAGCAGGGAAGAAGAAUGACGGUAC
RNAcentral lists this ribosomal RNA (453 nucleotides) under uncultured bacterium. RNAcentral describes it as "bacterial SSU rRNA". It matches the Rfam family "Bacterial small subunit ribosomal RNA", at positions 28 to 478 of the family's 1533-position model. The record is from RNAcentral.